This 494-nucleotide ribosomal RNA is filed under the name uncultured bacterium. Its description in RNAcentral is "partial 16S ribosomal RNA". It matches the Rfam family "Bacterial small subunit ribosomal RNA", at positions 28 to 507 of the family's 1533-position model. The record is from RNAcentral.
GACGAACGCUGGCGGCGCGCUUAACACAUGCAAGUCGAACGGAAAGGCCUGCUUUCCCUUGUGGAUUGCGGGUACUCGCGUGGCGAACGGGUGAGUAACACGUGAGUGAUCUGCCCCCAACUUGGGUAUAAGCCUGGGAAACUGGGUCUAAUUCCCGAUAGGACUGCAGGGUGGUGCCUGUGGUGGAAAACGAUUUUCUAGUGGUUGGGGAUGAGCUCGCGGCCUAUCAGCUUGUUGGUGGGGUAAUGGCCUACCAAGGCGGCGACGGGUAGCCGGCCUGAGAGGGUGGACGGCCACAUUGGGACUGAGAUACGGCCCAGACUCCUACGGGAGGCAGCAGUGGGGAAUAUGACACGAUGGGCGGAAGCCUGAUGCAGCGACGCCGCGUGGGGGAUGACGGCCUUCGGGUUGUAAACUCCUUUCGACCGCGAGGAAGCCACCUGGUUGGAAGGGUGGUGACGGUAGUGGUAGAAGAAGCACCGGCUAACUACGUG